RNAcentral lists this ribosomal RNA (406 nucleotides) under uncultured bacterium. RNAcentral describes it as "partial 16S ribosomal RNA". It matches the Rfam family "Bacterial small subunit ribosomal RNA", at positions 29 to 526 of the family's 1533-position model. The record is from RNAcentral.
AUUGAACGCUGGCGGCAGGCCUAACACAUGCAAGUCGAGCGAGCGGCGGACGGGUGAGUAAUGUCUGGGAAACUGCCUGAUGGAGGGGGGUAACUACUGGAAACGGUAGCUAAUACCGCAUACCAUCAGAUGUGCCCAGAUGGGAUUAGCGAGUAGGUGGGGUAACGGCUCACCUAGGCGACGAUCCCUAGCUGGGCUGCGAGGAUGACCAGCCAAACUGGAACUGGGACACGGUCCAGACUCCUAGGGGAGGCAGAAGUGGGGAAUAUUGCACAAUGGGCGAAAGCCUGAUGCAGCCAUGCCGCGUGUGUGAAGAAGGCCUCCGGGUUGUAAAGCACUUUCAGCGGGGAGGCGUUACCCGCAGAAGAAGCACCGGCUAACUCCGUGCCAGCAGCCGCGGUAAUUC